GAGGGUAGGAUGAAUCCUUUUGCGCGCAGUUGUGUACGAAGCGCCGUGUUGUUAGGACGCCCUUUCACCUCGGUUCCUUUGGAAUCACGUGAUGCCUGGGAUGUGAAUGAAGUAUAAAGGGACAAAUGGAAUCCUUGGUGCUUCUGGUGGCUAACAUUAUCAUUCAUGGGGUGGACGCUCAAAGUCACGGGCCCGUCUUCCUCCAGGAACCCCCGUCCCACCUGACGUUCUCCAAUACUACUGGUUCUCAAGUCAGCUGCUCGGCUCAUGGAUCACCAAAUCCUCAAGUCGAUUGGCUUCUACAGGAUAGCCAAACCGUUACUGCUGUACCUGGACUAAGGCAAUCACUGGGCAACGGUACUCUCUACUUCCCACCCUUCAGAGCUGAGGACUACCGGAAGGACGUACACUCAACCGUCUAUCGAUGCAGGGCAUCUAACUUGGCCGGCACAAUCAUCAGUAGAGAUGUUCACGUUCGCGCAGUGGUCAACCAACAGUAUGAAGUCCAAGUUUACCAUACCUACGUCUUAGCUGGAAACACGGCCGUUUUGCUUUGCGUGAUACCGUCGUUCGUGAAAGAGCAUGUCAGUGUCACUUCCUGGUCAAGAGACGAUUCAAUUCUCCUACCCGGUUCCAACAUGGGAGGCCGGAUAGUGGUGACUUACGGGAGCGGCGAAUUGCAUAUUAGGUCGGCACGUGCGGAAGACGGUAUGGCGAAGUACUCUUGCUUGACGUUACACGCCUUGACGCAGGAGCGAAAGAGAAGCGGAGCGGCGAUGCUUACUGUCACAGAACCAACGGGUAGUAUGCCACCAAGAUUAGCACCGUCGGCUCAGACGUCGGUAUCUGCGGAUAGAGAAUCAGAUGUUCAUCUAACGUGUUCGGCACAGGGAAAUCCACCGCCUACGUUCAACUGGUUUCGAGACGUGAAUGGGUUGCUGCAGCCCGUCCACUCGUCGUCGCGUUUCGAGCCGCUACAGGAUGUCCUGCUUAUUAGAAGACUGAAGCCGGAGGAUUCGGGUAAAUGGACCUGUAAAGUCUCCAAUCACUUCGGGGAACAGCGACUCGAUAUCCAAUUAACCGUCACAGCUCAUCUGACUCUACACGUUCUGCCCCAACUACAGGUUAUAAAUUCAGGGGAGAGUGCUAUUUUUAACUGUAGCGUCUCGGGGUCUCCGGUAGGGCGUAGCUAUUGGCUCAGAAAUGGGGAGGUGCUGUCCCCCGAUGGAAAUCCAAGGAUUAGGCUGUUGAGUCCUCUUGUACUGGCAAUUAAUAGGGUGACGAGGCAUGACCGUGGGAUGUAUCAGUGCGUUGUACGUAACGAUAGGGAGAGCGCUCAAGGAAGUGCUGAACUAAGGCUCGGAGAUACGGUUCCCGAGUUACAGUACACCUUUAUAGAACAAGCGUUAAGACCGGGACCUCAGGUUUCCUUGAGAUGUUCAGCAACAGGAUCUCCUCCACCGCAAUUCCGAUGGUUACUGGAUGGAGAAUCCUUGUCGGAACUGAAUAUCGGCCAUAGAUACGCUAUAGGACAGUACGUAGACCACGCAGGGGACGUUAUAAGUCACCUGAACAUAUCAAGCGUACGCGUCGAAGACGGCGGAUUAUACAGUUGUCGGGCUGUGAACUCUCUCGGUUCCGUCGAGCACGAGGCCCGGCUCAAUAUUUAUGGGCCGCCCUUUAUCCGCUCGAUUGGCCCCGUUAAGGCCGUAGCAGGAUCGGAUGUUACUCUCCAUUGUCCUUAUUCUGGGUAUCCCAUCGGAUCCGUUCGAUGGAAGCGGCAAGGACAGGAUUUGCCGAUAGACCUUCGACACCGUAUCGAGGAAGGUGGAUCUCUGACCAUCACCAGACUGGAUCCUUCUAUAGAUUCAGACUUGUAUACGUGUUUUGUCAGCGGCCGAAAUGGCGACGUCGUUCACCGCAACAUUCAGUUGGUCGUUCACAGUCCACCGAUUCUAGAACCCUUUUCCUUUCCCACGAGCCUUCAGGAGGGUGGCAGGGCGCAAGUGACUUGUUAUGUCACCUCCGGGGACAUGCCCAUCCACUUCGCCUGGUACAAAGAUGACAUGCCGAUUUCCGCCAACCUAGAGGUUGCCGAGCGGGCCGCCGAAUUCUACAGCAUGUUAAUAUUUAAAGAAGUCUCCUCGAAGCAUAGCGGAGCUUACACCUGCGUGGCGAGUAACUCCGCAGCGAGGGCGAACUAUACGGCGAACUUGAUGGUGAAAGUUGCGCCCCAAUGGGUCAUAGAACCGCAGGACGUAUCGACUUUAUUAGGAAAUCCAGUUCUUGUCGAAUGUUCUGCUAAGGGAUUUCCUAGGCCUCAGAUAACGUGGCUGAAAGGACAAGGGAAAACUUCUAGUGAUUACCAGCCGGUAUUAAAUUUGCAUGGUAGGACACUACUGUUGGCAAACGGAUCCAUGUUGCUUGACGCUGUGACACCCCAAGAAGAAGGACAUUACUUAUGCAGGGCUACGAACGGCAUCGGGUCCGGUUUGGGAAAGGUUAUUUAUAUCGACGUGAACGAACCUGCCCGCUUCGACGUUCCCUCCAGGAACAUAUCAACGAAGCGAGGGGGACCUAUCGCAUUGGUAUGCCACGUCUACGGCGACCUCCCUAUCGAGAUCUUGUGGACCCAUAACGGGAACCGACUCGAUCUCAACAGCUAUAGACUUACUGUAACCGAAUCCAAGAGCGAAAACGGGGUAAAGUCUCAGGUAACUAUCAAUAGAAGCGAUCGCGACGACUCCGGCAUCUACAAAUGUCACGCGGAAAAUGCUUAUGGGAGAAGCGGACACGUGAUCAACUUAGCUGUACAAGAAAGACCCGAUCCACCAGCGUUUUUGGAAGUUGUCGAAGUCGGAAGUCGAUCUGUUCGACUGGCUUGGAAAAAAAGCUUUGAUGGAAACAGUCCCAUUUUAGGAUAUUUGGUUCAAUAUCAACCGCUUGGGAUUAGUAGACCUGAUUGGGAGAAUGCUGCUACGCAAAAUAUUACAUUACCAGCGAUUACAUCAACUACAAGUGGUGACGACCCACGAGAGAGCGCAAUAAUCGGCAGCCUGCUGCCUGCCACUGCAUAUAAAAUAAGGAUGCUAGCGGUGAAUGGCAUCGAUCAGAGUCCGUUUACUGAGGAUGCAGUGGUGAAGACGCAAGAAGAGGAACCCUCGGAGUCUCCUAGAGACUUGCGGGUGGACGCCGUCGGGGCUGGGGAGUUGUUCUUGUCGUGGCAGGUGCCGCCAAGGGAAACUUGGAACGGAGAACUCCUCGGAUACAUCGUCUCGUGGAACGAACAGGGCAAGACGUCGAAUAACACCAAGACCUUAACGGUGAAAGGCUGGGCCACAACCAAAGUUCAAUUAACGGGUCUCCGCAAGUUUACUCGGUACGAUAUCACCGUCCGCGCUUACAACAGCGUUUCCGUCGGUCCCCAGUCCGCCACCAUAACUGGCGUUACCAAAGAAGGGAUUCCCGAGGCGCCGCCUCAAGAUAUCAGCUGUUCACAAAUCUCCUCGCAGAGUAUGAAAAUCUCGUGGACGCCGCCUCCAGCUCAAUUACACGGCGGCGUCAUCCAAGGAUAUAAGAUUUUUUACAGACCAGUCGUCCUAGAUAAUGUUGAUAUCUCAACAACCGGCGAAGUUAAACGCACGCCUAGCACAGACACUUAUCUUCACGGUCUUUAUAAAUACACCAACUACUCCAUCAAAGCUUUAGCUUACACCGGCGCUGGAGAUGGUAUAUUAAGUUCUCCGUUAUUUUGCACAACCGAAGAGGAUGUACCGGGACCCCCUGCGAACAUAAAAGCCGCUGCGUUGACCGGUGAAUCGAUCUUGGUUUCGUGGUUGCCGCCCACGAAACCUAACGGAAAGAUAAACCAUUACACCGUGUACGCUAGGGAAGCUGGUAGAGUUGGAAAACACACCAGUUAUGCUCUUAGAAUGGAGGACAACCCCUACACCCACGGAUUAAUGUUCGAAGUCCGCAAUCUCGUAGAAGACAAACUCUACGAGUUUUGGGUGUCUGCUACCACGAGUAUUGGAGAGGGUGAACCUACUUCCAUAGUCGCCCAAGCGGCUAAAUCUCGAGCUCCUUCCAGGAUCGCAUCCUUUAGUCAAACUUUACAAAAAGCUGUAAAAACCAAAGUUCUUCUUCCGUGUCAUGCUGUUGGAAAUCCCACCCCUAGAACUCGAUGGAUACACAGAGAUCGACCGAUCACGUUUAGUCCUUAUUACGAGGUAACAUCGGAUGGACAUUUAAGUAUUCACAGCGCCGAUCAAAGUUUGGGUGGUAAUUACACCUGUUCUGCAAAGAAUCUUUUUGGCGAAGACGCCAUUACUUAUACCUUGAUAGUUCUUCUUCCACCCCAAGCACCGGUGUUAGAGGAACAAUUUACAACCGCGAAAAGCAUCAGAAUUCGAUGGAGCGUCCCUAACGAUGGAGGUACACCAAUACAAGGUUACACAUUGAACGGUAAAAAGGAAACGGAAAACUGGUCGUCGAUGGAACUGUCGCCGGAGCAAACCGCGUACAACUUCGACGAUUUGCACUGCGGCUCGCAGUACCACCUCUAUGUAUUGGCUCAUAACAAAGUCGGAAACGGUAGCCCUAGUCCCAUAUUGACGUCGCGCACUAAAGGGGGCCCACCCCAGCUACCGAAGGAAAACGAUUUCAUAGUCACGAACGCGACAACACUCCAGUUAAAUUUAUUCAAUUGGCCAGACGGCGGCUGUCCGAUAUCACAAUUUUCCGUAACAUACAAGUCCCUCGGAGCAGACAAAUGGGUUCUGGUAUCCAGCAGCGUCUCCGGCGAGAAACUCCUCGUUCAGGAUCUGCAACCAGCCACGUGGUAUCAGCUGAAAGUAACCGCCGAGAACGACGCCGGUGUAUCACACGGCUUAUUCAACUUCGCCACCACCACCCUUACAGGGGCCCGCGUAUUACCACCACCCAACUUGAACGAAGAUCUCCCCGCGUCCGCCGGCUUCGGAUACAAAGAGCUGUACAUACUAAUACCCUCACUAUGCGCCUGUGUACUAGUUACUUGUAUCGCACACACGUGCUACCGAAAUUUCAAGAGGAAGAGGGGCGUCGAACGAGAGUCGCAACAAGCGGGGGAGGAGCCAGACGAGAAAACCGUCGAUAGGGAAAAUAGAAGGAAUUGUCAACAAGUCUACACUUCGUCACCUAUUAAGGCCGGCGAUAAAAUCCCCGAUGAUGGUUCGGGCAUGUACGAAAUUAGUCCUUACGCCACUUUCAGCGUUCCAGGAAACAAUAGUAGAUCUGUAACCACUUCGACUCUCGACUACACUAUGCAAUUCAAGACUUUUGGCCAUAUCGAAGACGAAGACCAUAACGCCAUCCCUUACAGUAAGAAUGCCGGAAAACAUAGUUGGCACAAACAUCGUUAUUAUAAUACAGAAGGUGUUCAACAAACGAGAAUUAGGGGUGGCAGGAUAGCUUCAGCAAGAGGUGACUCAGAAUCGGACGAUACUAGCGGAAGUCCGUGCGGUGAGUGCCCAAGCAGUUCAAAUUACAGAGUCCCGGUGAAGUCUUCGCGAGGUGAGAAGGAGCAGAAUUGCGCCUCGGGUUACGAGACGCUGCUGGUUUCAGAUCUCUUCCGGCCCGACUCCAGCACAGAGUCAAACGAGGUGUCUCCGCUGGCGGAGCGGCGAAACACACCCCGGCACGUCGGGGGUCAUCGCCGCCACCAGCGAGCUGCAAGUUCCAGCAGGUAGCCACUAAGCUCAAGACAGCAACCGGAAGAAGGCACUUCUUCGGGCGCCUGUCUCCAGCCGCCAACUGGGUUUUCCGACAGUCGGGAGCUUAGUGAGGCCGAGUGCGAUCGAGAUAUCGCACAGGGGAAGCUGUCCACGGAGUUAGUAAGCCUUCUGUCAAGGUAUCAAGAAAGGAAGGAACAGGAGCGCAAGGAAUUUACUAUACAUGUCUAAGGCGCAACACAAUAUAGUGUUCAUCUAGUUCUGCAGCCGAAUUAACGCUGAUUUUAUGUAAAUAUUACGAAAUCGUAAUAAAUAACAUGAAACGUG
Molecule: non-coding RNA, 6038 nt
Organism: Onthophagus taurus
Lineage: Eukaryota; Metazoa; Arthropoda; Insecta; Coleoptera; Scarabaeidae
Source: RefSeq, a predicted model, not a curated record